This 2385-nucleotide long non-coding RNA is filed under the name Cucumis sativus (cucumber). Its description in RNAcentral is "long non-coding RNA (CSAT_LNC001104)". Lineage: Eukaryota; Viridiplantae; Streptophyta; Magnoliopsida; Cucurbitales; Cucurbitaceae. The record is from RNAcentral.
ACGAUAAAGGCGGAAGCAAUCCUCGAUGCCCAAGGAGUUCGGGAAGCAAUAGAGCCAGCGAGAGGAGCCGAAGUGGAUGUGAAGAAAGACAAGAAGGCACGUUCAUACAUUCUCCAAUGCAUCCCGGAAGAUGUGCUUCUACAAAUCGCUAAAAAGAAGACCGCAAAGGAAAUAUGGGAUAGUCUCAAGACAAGGUACUUGGGCAGUGAGCGGGUGAAGAUGGCAAGAGUUCAAACCUUGAAGAGUGAGUUUAGUGUUCUUCGGAUGAAGGAAACCGAGACGAUCGAUGAGUUCGCAGGAAAAAUCAGCGGAUUAGCAAGCAAGUUCACUACCCUCGGAGUUGCACUUGAGGAUUCAUCAUUGGUCAAGAAGCUCCUCGAUUCCGUCCCCGACAAAUAUCUUCCCAUUGUUGUUGGAAUUGAGCAAUUUCAAGAUCUCGAAACCAUGCCGUUUGAAGAAGCAAUUGGACGGAUGAAGGCGUACGAGGAACGAACAACACGACUUCGAGAAAACAAUAACAACACCGAUGGACAACUCCUACUUACCCAUGUCGAAUGGAAAGCUAGACAAAAAGGACAUAGUGGUGAUAACUCCUCGAUGAACAAAGGGCGCAGAUUUGGUGGUACCGAUCGAGGAAGAUGGCGAGGACGUGGUCGUGGCCGUGGUCGUGGCACUGAGCGUCAAAAUUGUGCGGGAGGCACUAGCAACACUGGAAAUGGCACUCGUGAUAAAAGUCACAUUAAGUGUUUCACUUGCAACAAGAUGGAACAUUACGCGUCAUAAUGUCGUGGAAAAGGUCGUGACGAGGAAGCUCAUCUAACUUGUGCCGCCAAAGAAGAGCCGGCUUUGAUGAUGGCCAUGUCCCAGGAGGGGACACGCACUAGAUGUGAUCAGGAGGAUGCCAUACUACUCAACAAAGAGCGGUUGUUGCCAGAGAUGUAUUGCAACGACAAGAAUGGAGAAAAUAAUGACGUUUGGUAUCUAGACAACGGUGCUAGUAACCACAUGACUGGCCAUCGUGAGAAGUUCCAAGAAUUAGAUGAAAGCUUCACUAGGAGGGUGAAGUUUGGCGAUGGAUCAACCAUUCAGAUCAUGGGAAAAGGAACAGUCAUGUUCGAGUGCAAGAACGGUGAUCAGAAGGCUCUCCAAGAGAUAACAUUCCAAAAUUAUGUAGUAACAUCAUAAGCCUCGGACAAAUGACAGAAAACGAAAACAAGGUGCAAAUGAUAGAAGAUAUCAUGAAAGUGUCUGAUAGGAGUGUGAAGCUUUUGAUGUCGGUGAAGCGAACUCAUAAUCGUUUGUACAAGAUAACUUUGAAGACACUCAAGCAAGUCUGCCUUCUGACAAGCCUAGAAGAUCCAACAUGGUUAUGGCACGUGAGACUUGGCCAUGUAAAUUUUCAUGACUUGAAGCUCAUGGGGGAGAAGAAAUUAGUAGUUGGAGUACCACUAGUGACUCAACCGAACAAGUUAUGUAAAGCGUGCGUGAUUACCAAACAAGCCAGAUUGCCCUUCCCCCGUCAAUCAACAUAUAGAGUAGAGAAGCCAUUAGAACUCCUCCAUGCUGAUAUAUGUGGACCGAUUUCACCAUGUACUCUUGCUGGAAACAAGUAUCUUCUGUUGAUCGUUGACGAUUCCACGAGAUGGAUGUAGCUGUAUAUGUUGGAGGCAAAAAGUGACGCAUUUGCAGCAUUCAAGAAAUUCAAACUAUUAAUGGAGAAUAAGACGGAGUACAAGAUCAGAACGCUCCGGACGGAUCAAGGUGGUGAGUUCUUAUCUGUAGAGUUCACUCAAUUUUGCAAAAAAUAAGGAAUCGAACGACACCUCACCGCUCCAUAUUCACCACAACAAAAUGGCAUUGUAGAGCGUCGCAACCGCACCGUAAUGGCGAUGACGAGAUCACUCCUCAAAAGCAUGAAUGUGAUAGAACUAAGUCAUGCACAGCGGAAAAAGAAUCGAAUUUCUACCCUAAUUGCCACAAUUAACAUGUAACCAUAAACUAAUCAAAUUAGGGUUUUAAGAAAUAUUACCUUUGAAGUUUUCAAAAGGUUUGAUAUCUUCUUACCAAUUCUAACCGAGACCACCAUUAGUACUCAACUGCUAUCCUCUAGACAAAGAACCGGGUUGUGGGACCCAAUUUUGGUGUAGAAAAUAAUGGAGAUAAAAUGAGAUUGGAAGGUUUUUUUUUCUUUUGUUGAGAUGAUGAAAAUGAUAAAAGAGGCAAAAGUUCUUCAACAUUUGAAAACACCUCUAUUUAUAAGCCUAAUUACAUGCAAAAAUGCAUGCAAUUCAUUUCCCAAAUCUCCACCUAAUGUUCCACUAACAAUUAGUGGAACUUAGUGGGCUAGGUGUCUAUAUCUCAUAUAGCCACAUAUCCCACUAAGAG